CCUACGGGUGGCAGCAGUGAGGAAUAUUGGUCAAUGGACGAGAGUCUGAACCAGCCAAGUAGCGUGAAGGAUGAUUGCCCAAUGGGUUGUAAACUUCUUUUAUAUGGGGAUAAAACGUUCCACGUGUGGGAUUCGGUAUGUCCCUUAUGAAUAAGGAUCGGCUAACUCCGUGCCAGCAGCGGCGGUAAUACGGAGGAUCCGAGGUUUAUCCGGAUUUAUUGGGUUUAAGGGGAGCGUAGGUGGAUUGUUAAGUAAGUUGUGAAAGUUUGCGGCUCAACGGUAAAAUUGCAGUUGAAACUGGCAGGCUUGAGUACAGUAGAGGUGGGCGGAAUGUGUGGUGUAGCGGUGAAAUGCUUAGAUAUCACGAAGAACUCCGAUUGCGAAGGCAGUUCACUGGACUGCAACUGACACUGAGGCUCGAAAGUGUGGGUAUCAAACAGGAUUAGAUACCCCUGUAGUC
This 460-nucleotide ribosomal RNA is filed under the name uncultured bacterium. RNAcentral describes it as "partial 16S ribosomal RNA". It matches the Rfam family "Bacterial small subunit ribosomal RNA", at positions 338 to 795 of the family's 1533-position model. The record is from RNAcentral.